This 2911-nucleotide long non-coding RNA is filed under the name Taeniopygia guttata (zebra finch). RNAcentral describes it as "lncRNA (ENSTGUG00000020132.1)". Lineage: Eukaryota; Metazoa; Chordata; Aves; Passeriformes; Estrildidae. The record is from RNAcentral.
GGCAGUGCUGCCGUGGGCAUCAGCAUCCUUCAGUUCCCAGGGAGAGGGAUCCAUUUAUUCUGCUGACCCUCACAGGGUCUGGAAACAACAUUCUGCUUGAAUCCCAGCUCCUGUGGAUCACUACACACCGGGCAGGGGGUCUUUGAUUGAAUUGCUGGAGUGAGGAGUGCCACUGAUUUCUGCAGCCUGACAGGAUCUGCAGUGCUGGACCCCUGGCGUGGCACAGGUGGUUUGGUGGCAGUGUGUGUGUGCUGUCCCUCAGACUGGAUCAGCACGUCAGGCUCUGGUGGCUGCCACAUGGAGCUGAGCCCUGCCUGGGCCAGGAAAGGGAGCAGUGCCCUGUGGCCAGAACGCCUCCAUAUGGAUCAGAAAGAAGAGUCUGUCUCCAUAGCUCUGGGUGGACUUUGUGCAAUGAAGCUGAAACGCCAGAAGAUUACACAUUCUGACUGCGGAACAAAGGGCUGGCAGGAGCUGCUCUCUUGUGCUUAAUAAUUUGAGUGAAUUUACAUUUCAAUGCAGCCCUGUGCCACUUCCCACCCCCCGUGGAAAGAGCAGAAUUUCCCUGUUGCGGGGAGGGGGAAAAGCAACUCCCACCGCAGUGGCCAGGCUGGGAGAUUUAUUGCGGCUCCUCUCCGAAUUUAUUCCUCCCGAAUCCCGCUCGCGUGUGGGGAUGUUUUCCUCCCCACCCCAGCCCUGCUCAGCCAACUCUGCCUGCCCCACCUCCCUGAGCAUCCUCAGUAAUUAAGCAGCAGCGGCACAUAAAGUCCCUGCCUCGGCAGAAGUGUGAAAUCACAGCUACACCUAAAGCCGGACCGAAGCUUUCCACUCUGAGUGACACCCAGCGAGCUGCAAAGUGAUAAAAAGACAGAGUUGCCAAAACUCCCCGAACACGGUCUGGUUUCUACGCGACGUCCUUUUGGCUGUACUUUGGGAACUGCAAGUACAAAAACCCCAUUUGCUGACUCAGAGUUGGUGAUGGGGGCGUGGAGGUGGCAGGUUUUUCACUUGCUGACCCUUGGAUCCCUGCCUGCAGGGUGCUCUGACCUGCUUGGCUCAUCUCUUGCUCCUCAGCUGAAUUUUCCCUCUUGUGCAUCCCUGAGUUUAUCUCGGGGUAUGAUUUGGUGUCCCUGCACAGGACACAGGAAUGCUGCAUUGACUGCCACCCACCCCUUACUGAGUCCCAGUCCUGCAGUUUAAUCUUAGGAGAGCUGCAUAAUUUUCUCUUGCCUAUCUGAUAAUAACUUUGCAAAGACUUUAUAUGCUGAUAACCUCAGCAUGCUACACUCCAUUUGGGUCUUUCACCACCAGCUGCUCUGCAUUAGCCCAUUUUAAUGAACUUUGAUUAUAGACACAGCUCCUCAUUGCUAUUUUAGAGGACAUCUCUGCUUUUCUUGAGCUUCCUAGGAGCUGGGCUUUGGGGCCAUGAGCACAGGACCUCACUGUCUGGGAUUUGCACGUUGAGGUGUGGCUCAACCAAUACUUUUCUUUCACUUGCUCUUCUGCCUAAGUCCCACAUGGUGCAAAAUGAGACGGACCCUCGCUGCCCUUGGGGCUGAAGAAGCAGAACGUGAAGAAAGUGCAGCCUCAGAUGUACCUGAGCACAGCAGCAGCCUCUUCCAGAAGCCCAUUACACCUGAACCUGUGCUUUUGGGCAGUGCACGAGGUGAUGGACAAAAGGCAGCUGGAAGGAAGUACAAAGGGAUGGUGAGUAGAGAAAAGCACAGGGCAGCGCUCCCCCUGCCCAGAGGGAGCAGCCAUGGGGCAGGCUGUGGUACCAGGGAAUGCUGGAAUUGUUUGGGUUGGAAAGCACCUUAAGCAUCACCCAGUUCUAAUUCCCUGCCACGAGCAGGGACGUGUUCCACUAGACCAGGUUGUUCAAGCUCCCAUCCAAUCUGGCCUGGAACACUUCUGGGGAUGGAGCAUCCACAGCUUUUCUGGGCAGCCUCCUCCAGUGCCUUACCACCCUGUGGAACAGGUGGUACCAGGAGAACCUGGAACUGGGAUUGGAGUCACAGAAGCUCAAGGGAAGCCCGUGUCCCAGGGAAUUGCCAGUGGGUGGCUGCCCUUGCUCAAGGAUGUGGCUUAGGACAGGUGAUCCUGGAGGAGGUGACAAGUCUGGAGAAGCAGAUCCUCCUCUGGCCUUGGGGAAACCUGGAUCCCAAGCAGCAGCAAAUGGGAACACGUGGAAUUGCAAGGGCAUUCCUGGCAUCAGGCAGGAGAGACUGGGCCAGUAGAAUGAUCUCUCUGGUGGGACUGGGGACAACCUUGAUGAGAGAAGAUUGCAGCAAGGGCAGGACACACAAACCUCGUUAUACCCUCCAACUGAGAAAACCUGCUGGGCUGCCAUCUCUGGGACCACCCCUGUGAUUGACAGCUGUCAAUCUCUGUCCUUGCCAGGUGUGAAAAAUGCGUAUUUUAUCAUUGGCUUUUCGCAAAUGUUACAAUGAAUAUUAUAUGUGUAAUGUUAGAAAAUUAUGCUGUAUUAAUUCUCUUACGUAUUGUGUUAAGCGUAGUUUUAGGUUACAACAUAAUGUUAAAAUAGAGACUAUGAAUGUGGGGAAGUUCUUUUUUUAGGGAUGAGAUACUCGCUUUGAGGAACACCUAAAUCUUCCAAAGGAGAGGAAUUUAUGGCUUCUUAUCAGAUGAAACUAAUUUCUUCAGGCCUUGCUCAGACUCGAAGAUGCCAGGGGAUUAAAGGAAACAGUUGACAUAAGACAGAGUUUCUUGUUUAGAAUAGAAUGUAUGCAUAACCAUGAAGGAUGUAUGAAUAUGCAACAAGUGUAUUGUUUUAAGGGUGAUUCCUUUGUUCACAAGUCAUGCUUUGACUUAGUGUCCGAGAGCAUCCUGAUGUCUGUAAUUCUUUGCUUUUUAUUGUCUUGUAAUUGUCCUAACUCUAAACUUUAUUACUCUA